RNAcentral lists this ribosomal RNA (633 nucleotides) under uncultured archaeon. RNAcentral's name for it is "bacterial SSU rRNA". It matches the Rfam family "Archaeal small subunit ribosomal RNA", at positions 1 to 644 of the family's 1478-position model. The record is from RNAcentral.
UUCCGGUUGAUCCUGCCGGAGCCACUGCUAUCAGAGUUCGAUUAAGCCAUGCGAGUCGAGAGGUGCAAGACCUCGGCAUACUGCUCAGUAACACGUGGACAACCUACCCUACGGAGGGGGAUAACCCCGGGAAACUGGGGAUAAUACCCCAUAGACUAUGGAUGCUGGAAUGCUCUGUAGCCGAAAGGUCCGCCGCCGUAGGAUGGGUCUGCGGCCGAUUAGGUUGUUGUUGGGGUAACGGCCCAACAAGCCUGUAAUCGGUACGGGUUGUGGGAGCAAGAGCCCGGAGAUGGAUUCUGAGACACGAAUCCAGGCCCUACGGGGCGCAGCAGGCGCGAAAACUUUACAAUGCGGGAAACCGUGAUAAGGGAACUCUGAGUGCCCGUAAAAUCGGGCUGUCCAUCAGUUUAAAUAACUGGUGAAGAAAGGGCCGGGCAAGACCGGUGCCAGCCGCCGCGGUAAUACCGGCGGCUCGAGUGGUGGCCACUAUUACUGGGCUUAAAGCGUUCGUAGCUGGUUUGUUAAGUCUCUGGGGAAAUCUUCCGGCUUAACCGGAAGGCGUCUCAGGGAUACUGGCAGACUAGGGACCGGAAGAGGUGAGAGGUACUCCAGGGGUAGGAGUGAAAUCCUGUA